UGCGAAACUCGAAUGAACGAACGGAGAGAUUCAUCGUCUAUUCCGGGCGUGCGGGCGCGUCGCACGAUGUCCAGCGCUUCCUCGCGGAGUUGUCCGGGCACGUCGCGCGUCCGUCUCGCGUCCCGGGACGGCGUGCACUUCUCUCUCAGUAAUACAUCGCGACCCGUUCGAUGUCGGUCUAAGCGCCGCCCGGGAGUCUCUCGGUUCGCCCGCAAGGGCGCGAUCGGUGUGACCGGUGCGGUCGUCCGACCGGCCGUCGGACGGUAGUUUGAACGAAUCGCGUACGCGUGUUUUAUAAUGCGCGUCCGGCCCGACGCAAGGCAUAAAGCGUCGUCGUUCUCGUAUCUGCCCGAGUGCGAACGAGGGGGCGGCGCGCCUGUCGUCGCAGCCGUGCAUGUCUCGGACAGUACGCGUGUCAGUCUGCGAUGAUUCAGUUUCGG
RNAcentral lists this ribosomal RNA (440 nucleotides) under Rhodostrophia calabra. Its description in RNAcentral is "partial 28S ribosomal RNA". Lineage: Eukaryota; Metazoa; Arthropoda; Insecta; Lepidoptera; Geometridae. The record is from RNAcentral.